UAGCUUGCUACCUGACCUAGCGGCGGACGGGUGAGUAAUGCUUAGGAAUCUGCCUAUUAGUGGGGGACAACAUUCCGAAAGGAAUGCUAAUACCGCAUACGCCCUACGGGGGAAAGCAGGGGAUCUUCGGACCUUGCGCUAAUAGAUGAGCCUAAGUCAGAUUAGCUAGUUGGUGGGGUAAAGGCCUACCAAGGCGACGAUCUGUAGCGGGUCUGAGAGGAUGAUCCGCCACACUGGGACUGAGACACGGCCCAGACUCCUACGGGAGGCAGCAGUGGGGAAUAUUGGACAACGGGCGAAAGCCUGAUCCAGCCAUGCCGCGUGUGUGAAGAAGGCCUUUUGGUUGUAAAGCACUUUAAGCGAGGAGGAGGCUACUUGGAUUAAUACUCUAGGAUAGUGGACGUUACUCGCAGAAUAAGCACCGGCUAACUCUGUGCCAGCAGCCGCGGUAAUACAGAGGGUGCGAGCGUUAAUCGGAUUUACUGGGCGUAAAGCGUGCGUAGGCGGCUUUUUAAGUCGGAUGUGAAAUCCCUGAGCUUAACUUAGGAAUUGCAUUCGAUACUGGGAAGCUAGAGUAUGGGAGAGGAUGGUAGAAUUCCAGGUGUAGCGGUGAAAUGCGUAGAGAUCUGGAGGAAUACCGAUGGCGAAGGCAGCCAUCUGGCCUAAUACUGACGCUGAGGUACGAAAGCAUGGGGAGCAAACAGGAUUAGAUACCCUGGUAGUCCAUGCCGUAAACGAUGUCUACUAGCCGUUGGGGCCUUUGAGGCUUUAGUGGCGCAGCUAACGCGAUAAGUAGACCGCCUGGGGAGUACGGUCGCAGGACUAAAACUCAAAUGAAUUGACGGGGGCCCGCACAAGCGGUGGAGCAUGUGGUUUAAUUCGAUGCAACGCGAAGAACCUUACCUGGUCUUGACAUAGUAAGAACUUUCCAGAGAUGGAUUGGUGCCUUCGGGAACUUACAUACAGGUGCUGCAUGGCUGUCGUCAGCUCGUGUCGUGAGAUGUUGGGUUAAGUCCCGCAACGAGCGCAACCCUUUUCCUUAUUUGCCAGCGGGUUAAGCCGGGAACUUUAAGGAUACUGCCAGUGACAAACUGGAGGAAGGCGGGGACGACGUCAAGUCAUCAUGGCCCUUACGACCAGGGCUACACACGUGCUACAAUGGUCGGUACAAAGGGUUGCUACCUAGCGAUAGGAUGCUAAUCUCAAAAAGCCGAUCGUAGUCCGGAUUGGAGUCUGCAACUCGACUCCAUGAAGUCG
Molecule: ribosomal RNA, 1257 nt
Filed under: uncultured Acinetobacter sp.
Lineage: Bacteria; Pseudomonadati; Pseudomonadota; Gammaproteobacteria; Moraxellales; Moraxellaceae
Description: bacterial SSU rRNA
Rfam family: Bacterial small subunit ribosomal RNA
Source: RNAcentral